GAAAUGCGAUACGUAGUGUGAAUUGCAGAAUUCAGUGAAUCAUCGAAUCUUUGAACGCACAUUGCGCCCUUUGGUAUUCCAAAGGGCAUGCCUGUUCGAGCGUCAUUUGUACCCUCAAGCUUUGCUUGGUGUUGGGCGUUUUUUGUCCUUGGCUCGCCCAAAGACUCGCCUUAAAACGAUUGGCAGCCGGCCUACUGGUUUCGCAGCGCAGCACAUUUUUGCGCUUGCAAUCAGCAAAAGAGGACGGCAAUCCAUCAAGACUCCUUCUCACGUUUGACCUCGGAUCAGGUAGGGAUACCCGCUGAACUUAAGC
This 313-nucleotide unclassified non-coding RNA is filed under the name plant metagenome. Its description in RNAcentral is "partial contains 5.8S ribosomal RNA, internal transcribed spacer 2, and large subunit ribosomal RNA". The stretch from base 1 to 105 matches the Rfam family "5.8S ribosomal RNA", at positions 50 to 154 of the family's 154-position model. The record is from RNAcentral.